Molecule: ribosomal RNA, 239 nt
Filed under: uncultured bacterium
Lineage: Bacteria
Description: partial 16S ribosomal RNA
Rfam family: Bacterial small subunit ribosomal RNA
Source: RNAcentral
UGGAGGCAAAACUAUAAAAAGCGAUCUCAGUUCGGACUGCAGGCUGCAACUCGCCUGCACGAAGUUGGAAUUGCUAGUAAUCGUGGAUCAGCAUGCCACGGUGAAUACGUUCCCGGGUCUUGUACACACCGCCCGUCACACCAUGGGAGCCGGUAAUACCCGAAGUCAGUAGUCUAACCGCAAGGAGGACGCUGCCGAAGGUAGGAUUGGCGACUGGGGUGAAGUCGUAACAAGGUAUC